CUUGAACGCUGGCGGCAGGCCUAACACAUGCAAGUCGAGCGAGUGGCGGACGGGUGAGUAAUGUCUGGGAAACUGCCUGAUGGCGGGGGAUAAAUACUGGAAACGGUAGCUAAUACCGCAUACCAUCGGAUGUGCCCAGAUGGGAUUAGCUAGUAGGUGGGGUAACGGCUCACCUAGGCGACGAUCCCUAGCUGGUCUGAGAGGAUGACCAGCAACACUGGAACUGCGACACGGGCCAGACUGCUACGGGAGGCAGGAGUGGGGAAUAUUGCACAAUGGGGGAAAGCCUGAUGCAGCCAUGCCGCGUGUGUGAAGAAGGCCUUCGGGUUGUAAAGUACUUUCAGCGAGGAGGCGUUACUCGCAGAAGAAGCACCGGCUAACUCCGGGCCAGCAGCCGCGGUAAUAC
Molecule: ribosomal RNA, 406 nt
Filed under: uncultured bacterium
Lineage: Bacteria
Description: partial 16S ribosomal RNA
Rfam family: Bacterial small subunit ribosomal RNA
Source: RNAcentral